Molecule: ribosomal RNA, 515 nt
Filed under: uncultured bacterium
Lineage: Bacteria
Description: partial 16S ribosomal RNA
Rfam family: Bacterial small subunit ribosomal RNA
Source: RNAcentral
GAUGAACGCUGGCGGCGUGCCUAAUACAUGCAAGUCGAGCGAAUGGAUUGAGAGCUUGCUCUUAUGAAGUUAGCGGCGGACGGGUGAGUAACACGUGGGUAACCUGCCCAUAAGACUGGGAUAACUCCGGGAAACCGGGGCUAAUACCGGAUAACAUUUUGAACCGCAUGGGUCGAAAUUGAAAGGCGGCUUCGGCUGUGACUUAUGGAUGGACCCGCGUCGCAUUAGCUAGUUGGUGAGGUAACGGCUCACCAAGGCAACGAUGCGUAGCCGAACUGAGAGGGUGAUCGGCCACACUGGGACUGAGACACGGCACAGACUCAUACGGGAGGCAGCAGUAGGGAAUCUUCCGCAAUGGACGAAAGUCUGACGGAGCAACGCCGCGUGAGUGAUGAAGGCUUUCGGGUCGUAAAACUCUGUUGUUAGGGAAGAACAAGUGCUAGUUGAAUAAGCUGGCACCUUGACGGUACCUAACCAGAAAGCCACGGCUAACUACGUGCCAGCAGCCGCAGUAA